GAUGAACGCUGGCGGCGUGCCUAAUGCAUGCAAGUCGAACGCUGGAACUCUAGCUUGCUAGAUUGAAGGAGUGGCGAACGGGUGAGUAAUACAUAAGCAACCUACCCACGAAGACUGGGAUAAUCUCUGGAAACGGGGACUAAUACCGGAUAGGUAAUCGGAAGGCAUCUUCUGAUUAUUAAAGGUUAAAAACACUGGUGGAUGGGCUUAUGGCGCAUUAGUUAGUUGGUGAGGUAACGGCCCACCAAGACGAUGAUGCGUAGCCGGCCUGAGAGGGUGAACGGCCACAUUGGGACUGAGACACGGCCCAGACUCCUACGGGAGGCAGCAGUAGGGAAUUUUCGGCAAUGGGGGAAACCCUGACCGAGCAACGCCGCGUGAGUGAUGACGGCCUUCGGGUUGUAAAGCUCUGUUGUAAGGGAAGAACGGUAGAUAGAGAAUAUCUAAAUGACGGUACCUUACCAGAAAGCCACGGCUAACUACGUG
RNAcentral lists this ribosomal RNA (486 nucleotides) under uncultured bacterium. RNAcentral describes it as "partial 16S ribosomal RNA". It matches the Rfam family "Bacterial small subunit ribosomal RNA", at positions 28 to 507 of the family's 1533-position model. The record is from RNAcentral.